Molecule: unclassified non-coding RNA, 240 nt
Filed under: soil metagenome
Description: partial contains 5.8S ribosomal RNA, internal transcribed spacer 2, and large subunit ribosomal RNA
Source: RNAcentral
AACCUAGCACACCUGCGGUGUGUACCUGCGGAGGGAUCAUUAACAAUUAUCCACCAUCAUGGAUAAUUUUAUCCAUAUCCACCUUGUGUGAAUCAUCGAAAGUGUUAUUGGCAGGUUAUGGAUCUCAAUUAUUUGAGAUUCCGUGGGUUUUCUGUGGCUCGGCCUGCCAAUUUUAUUAUGUUUAAACAUGUCUAAAUAUAUUAAUGGACUGAAAUAUACACUAUUCAAUAAAUACAACUU